Molecule: ribosomal RNA, 508 nt
Filed under: Panstrongylus geniculatus
Lineage: Eukaryota; Metazoa; Arthropoda; Insecta; Hemiptera; Reduviidae
Description: partial 16S ribosomal RNA
Rfam family: Bacterial large subunit ribosomal RNA
Source: RNAcentral
GUCCUUUUGUUAUUUAUUUAAGGUCUAGUCUGCCCAAUGAGGAAUUAAAUGGCCGCAGUAUUUUAACUGUGCUAAGGUAGCAUAAUCAUUUGUCUUUUAAUUGAGGGCUGGAAUGAAAGGCUGGACGAGGCAUUAACUUUCUUUGAUUUAAGUAUAAGAACUUAAUUUUUGAGUUAAAAAGCUUAAAUUUAUUUGUUGGACGAGAGAGACCCUAUAGAUCUUUAUAAUUUUAUAUUUUAGUAAUUUAGGGAUUCAAUUAGCUUGGAGUUGAGGAAUUAUUUUGUUGGGGUGACUUUAGAAUUUGAAGAACUUCUAUUUGUUUAAUUCAUUUAUUAAUGUCUUUUUGAUCCAUUUUUUAUGAUUAUAAGAUUAAGUUACCUUAGGGAUAACAGCGUAAUUUUUCCGGAGAGUUCAUAUUGAUGGAGGAGUUUGCGACCUCGAUGUUGGAUUAAAAUAAGUUAUGGAUGCAGAAGUCUAUUUACUAGGUCUGUUCGACCUUUGAAUUUUU